GAUGAACGCUGGCGGCGUGCUUAACACAUGCAAGUCGAACGGGAAAUAUUUCAUUGAGACUUCGGUGGAUUUGAUCUAUUUCUAGUGGCGGACGGGUGAGUAACGCGUGGGUAACCUGCCUUAUACAGGGGGAUAACAGUCGGAAAUGGCUGCUAAUACCGCAUAAGCGCACAGAGCUGCAUGGCUCAGUGUGAAAAACUCCGGUGGUAUAAGAUGGACCCGCGUUGGAUUAGCUUGUUGGUGGGGUAACGGCCCACCAAGGCGACGAUCCAUAGCCGGCCUGAGAGGGUGAACGGCCACAUUGGGACUGAGACACGGCCCAGACUCCUACGGGAGGCAGCAGUGGGGAAUAUUGCACAAUGGGGGAAACCCUGAUGCAGCGACGCCGCGUGAAGGAAGAAGUAUCUCGGUAUGUAAACUUCUAUCAGCAGGGAAGAUAGUGACGGUAC
This 449-nucleotide ribosomal RNA is filed under the name uncultured bacterium. Its description in RNAcentral is "bacterial SSU rRNA". It matches the Rfam family "Bacterial small subunit ribosomal RNA", at positions 28 to 478 of the family's 1533-position model. The record is from RNAcentral.